UCUCUGAUGGCUCAGAGGUUAAAGCGUCUGCCUGCAAUGCAGGAGACAUAGGUUUGAUCCCUAGGUUGGGAA
Ovis aries (sheep) is the source of this 72-nucleotide transfer RNA. It matches the Rfam family "tRNA". Rfam says of the family: Transfer RNA (tRNA) molecules are approximately 80 nucleotides in length. Lineage: Eukaryota; Metazoa; Chordata; Mammalia; Artiodactyla; Bovidae. The record is from Rfam.